Malania oleifera is the source of this 2530-nucleotide RNA transcript. RefSeq lists it as uncharacterized. The transcript is spliced from 3 exons. The record is from RefSeq and is a predicted model, not a curated record. NCBI's taxonomy places the organism in Eukaryota, Viridiplantae, Streptophyta, Magnoliopsida, Santalales, Ximeniaceae.
AUGACAAAUAACGGUCGUUUUGACAGAGUCACCGAUUUUUCUUCUCAUUGUUUUGUCCUCCCUCUCAUCUUCUCUCUCUCUUUUCGCUGUUAUUUGGCGAUGAGGAUUGCUCGUGAAGAUCUCUGUUCUUCUUCUGGAUUCGAAGUCUAUCUUAUAAGGUAUCUUCGAAGAUCCCUGCUUUAUCUAUCCACCUUCAUGUGCGUGUGUUUGCUUCUUUGAGCUUUUCAGAGUUGUUCAGAUUUUUUUGAGGGUUUGUUGGCAUCCUUUCUUCUUGUUCUCGAUUAGGGUUUUCUGAAUUAUUCUCUUUCUUUUUAAUGAUUGAUAGAAAUUUUUUCAUUCUUAUGAUAGAAAUGGUCAAUAAAUUCUUCCUUUUUGGAUUGAUUUUUGAAGUGAAUGGAUAAAGUAUAGUUCCGCUGAGAUGUGUCUAGGGUUUAUUGUGGGAAAAUAUCUAUAUGGGUAUGUUGUAAGGUGCUUUUGUUGACCGUGGAGGGGUCUGAAAAUCCUAAGCACGCACACGAGAAACAAAAGAUUCCUAAGAGUGGGGAAAGGGUUAAAAUGGGAGAAGAUCUGCUUACAAGUCUAUCCAUGGAGAAUCAUCACCCAUCCACACUGUUGUCCAUGGAUUCAAGUGCAAUCUCUCAUGAGGAAUUGGACAGAGAGAUGAAUCGACAGGUAAUCUUAUCUCGACCGCCUGAUAUUAAUCUUCCCCUGUCGGCUGAGCGUAGUCCUCCUUCUCAAUCAUGGAAUCCUGACCCUUUUGAUAUGCUAGAGGUUGGCCUUGGGCCUCAAAUUAAUGAGCCUGAUGUCCUCCUUAAUCUCCCUAAGACAGGGCGGAAAUUUGCCAAGAGGUUGGAUAGUAUAUGGGGUGCUUGGUUUUUCUUUACUUAUUACUACAAGCCUGUUUUGAAUGAGAAAUCAAAAAGCAAGGUUAUCCGGGACAGUAAUGGGGUUUCUGGGUUUGAUAAGUUAGAUCUCAAUCUUGACUCUUUCUUAGUUCAGCAUGAUAUGGAGAACAUGUACAUGUGGGUUUUUAAGGAGAGGCCGGAGAAUGCCCUAGGUAAGAUGCAGCUGAGGAGUUACAUGAAUGGGCACUCCCGCCAGGGUGAGCGUCCAUUUCCGUUUAGUGCUGAUAAGGGUUUUGUCCGAUCUCACAGGAUGCAGCGGAAGCAUUACAAAGGGCUUUCCAAUCCUCAGUGCGUACAUGGAAUUGAGAUUGUUCGCUCACCCAAUCUGAUGGGUAUGGAUGAGGAGGAACAGAAGAGAUGGAUGGAACUUACUGGUAGGGAACUGAACUUCUCAGUCCCACCCGAAGCUAGCGAGUUUUCUUCAUGGAGGAACCUACCUAACACAGAGUUUGAGCUUGAGAGGCCCCUUCCUCCAUUAAAAAGUAACCCACAUCCCAAUCAAAGGAAAUUGCUUAAUGGGUCUGGUCUGAAUUUAUCGACUAGGCCAUCCAACCAUGUCAAUGGCAGUGGAAUGGAUCUCUCUCCAGUAUGCAAUAAGAGGAGGAAGGACUUCUUCCCGCAUGGAAGUGAUGAAGAUUGUCUACUUAUUAAUUCUCAUUCUGAUAGAGUCCAGGAUACAGAGAUGCAUGCAGUUGAACCUCAUUGGUUGAAUGAGUUUAGUGGAGUAAUGAGGAACGUUUAUGGGCCUGUUACGGCGGCAAAGACCAUCUAUGAGGAUGAAGAAGGAUAUCUAAUAAUUGUCAGUUUGCCUUUUGCGGAUCUUCAAAGGGUUAAAGUAACUUGGUGGAACACUCUUACUCAUGGUGUUGUGAAGAUAUCAUCUGUGAGCACAGCCUGCAUGCCAUUCAUCCAGAGAAAAGACAGAACAUUCAAGCUUACUGAUCCGUCUCCAGAGCACUGCCCUCCAGGAGAGUUUAAAAGGGAAAUCCCACUUGCAACCCGGAUUCCGGAUGAUGCCAAGCUAGAAGCAUAUGGUGAUGAAACAGGGACCGUUCUUGAGAUCAUGGUGCCAAAACACCGUGUGGGACCAGAAGAACAUGAGGUUCGCGUUUGCCUUCGCCCUCACCUUGGAGCAAAUGAGCUUUUGUUGUCUUGAAAGAGGCAUUAAAUGGAGAAAUUGUUGGAUUGCUCAUCAGCUUCCAGGUUGAAUUUCGCAGGUUGGGGUUUUUGGAGACCUUGGAUAUUAAUUUCAAGAGAAUUUUUUUGUGCACUUUAUAAUUUGUGAUGCAUAAAGACUGGAGAAACAUGUGAUAGACUAAACUUUAGAAAGGAAGAAGAGGAAAGGGGGUGGGUGGGGGAAAAGAAAUGAUAGGCUUUUUCAUUUGCUUUAGCACUGUUUUGUGAAGUCCCAACUUCAUGGAUAAAUAAACAAGUUGGUUCGAUGAGUUAUGCAAUUGUAUUUUGUAGUUUAAAUGCAUGUGGGUAUGUGGUUGUAAUGAUGGUGUGAUUAUGAGAUUUAACUUAUUAUUAUGAGGUUGCUGUUGUAAAUGGAUUAUUCUGUAAUUUUGUUAAGCAGAUGAAUCCACAAAGUUAUUGAAUUGUCUACCAAGUUCUUUGGGUUUUAA